This 836-nucleotide ribosomal RNA is filed under the name Ceratocystis ficicola. Its description in RNAcentral is "eukaryotic LSU rRNA". It matches the Rfam family "Eukaryotic large subunit ribosomal RNA", at positions 76 to 929 of the family's 3401-position model. The record is from RNAcentral. Lineage: Eukaryota; Fungi; Ascomycota; Sordariomycetes; Microascales; Ceratocystidaceae.
UGCCCUAGUAACGGCGAGUGAAGCGGCAACAGCUCAAAUUUGAAAUCUGUCUACCUUUCGUAGUCCGAGUUGUAAUUUGUAGAGGAUGCUUUUGGUGAGGUGCCUUCCGAGUUCCCUGGAACGGGACGCCAUAGAGGGUGAGAGCCCCGUACGGUUGGAUACCAAACCUCUGUAUAGCUCCUUCAACGAGUCGAGUAGUUUGGGAAUGCUGCUCUAAAUGGGAGGUAUAUCUCUUCUAAAGCUAAAUAUAGGCUAGAGACCGAUAGCGCACAAGUAGAGUGAUCGAAAGAUGAAAAGCACUUUGAAAAGAGAGUUAAACAGCACGUGAAAUUGUUGAAAGGGAAGCGCCUAUGACCAGACUUGUUUCUGGCAGUUUUGUUAGCCCUCGGGCUGAUUUACUCUGUCCAGUACAGGCCAGCAUCAGUUUGUUAUUGGGGAGAAAGGCUCUGGGAACGUAGCUCCCCCCUUCUGGGGGGAGUGUUAUAGCCCUCUGCAUAAUACCCUUUGGCAGACUGAGGACCGCGCUUCGGCAAGGAUGCUGGCGUAAUGGUCAUCAGCGACCCGUCUUGAAACACGGACCAAGGAGUCAACCUUAUGUGCGAGUGUUUGGGUGUAAAACCCCCAGCGCGUAAUGAAAGUGAACGUAGGUGAGAGCUUCGGCGCAUCAUCGACCGAUUCUGAUGUUUUCGGAUGGAUUUGAGUAAGAGCACACAGGGUUGGACCCGAAAGAAGGUGAACUAUGCUUGUAUAGGGUGAAGCCAGAGGAAACUCUGGUGGAGGCUCGCAGCGGUUCUGACGUGCAAAUCGAUCGUCAAAUAUGAGCAUGGGGGCGAAAG